This 467-nucleotide ribosomal RNA is filed under the name uncultured bacterium. Its description in RNAcentral is "partial 16S ribosomal RNA". It matches the Rfam family "Bacterial small subunit ribosomal RNA", at positions 28 to 507 of the family's 1533-position model. The record is from RNAcentral.
GACGAACGCUGGCGGCGUGCUUAACACAUGCAAGUCGAACGGAAAGGCUCCAGCUUGCUGGAGUACUCGAGUGGCGAACGGUUGAGUAACACGUGGGUAAUCUGCCCUGCACUCUGGGAUAAGCCUGGGAAACUGGGUCUAAUACUGGAUAUGACCUUUCUCCUUAUGGGGUUUGUUGGAAAGUUUUUCGGUGUAGGAUGAGCCCGCGGCCUAUCAGCUUGUUGGUGGGGUGAUGGCCUACCAAGGCGACGACGGGUAGCCGGCCUGAGAGGGUGAUCGGCGACAUUGGGACUGAGAUACGGCCCAGUCUCGUAUGGGAGGCAGCAGGGGGGAAUAUUACACAAUGGGCGGAAGCCUGAUGCAGCGACGCCGCGUGAGGGAUGACGGCCUUCGGGGUGUAAACCGCUUUCAGCAGGGACGAAGCGUAAGUGACGGUACCUGCAGAAGAAGCACCGGCUAACUACGUG